Molecule: ribosomal RNA, 732 nt
Filed under: Triticum aestivum (bread wheat)
Lineage: Eukaryota; Viridiplantae; Streptophyta; Magnoliopsida; Poales; Poaceae
Description: partial small subunit ribosomal RNA
Source: RNAcentral
AUGGCCGUUGCUCUAACUCCUGCCAGCAUGGAUGCGCUCUCUAACAGAUCAAACAAAGGCGGCACCGAGCUAUCAGCUUGUUCUAAUCCUGGUUGUGGUGUUGUUGACUCAAUCACAACGAAUCCAGAGUUUUCAGAACUGCAAUCUGGAAGAUCGGCACCGAAGCGGAAAAGUAAGCGGGAAGCGUUUGAAGGAGUAGACUACAGAAUUGCCCCUUCAAUAAAAAGUACGUUCCAGAAGUGUGUGGAACGCGUUGCUUUUAGGGGCGAUGCAGAUGUGUUUGUUCCAAGUGUUGGAACAAUUUUUGAUCCAAAGGAUGAAGUUUAUGAUUUCUACAACAUGUUCUCUUGGGAGUGUGGCUUUGGUAUUCGCUAUGGAAAGAGUAGCACUAAUAGCAAAAAAUACAGAACAAUGCAGGACAUCGUUUGCCAGUGCGCGGGCAAAGAAGAAAGGCCAAACACAACAACAUGCCGCACUGGUUGUGAAGCUCGUAUAAGACUACAUCGAACUGACGACCAUGGAUGGUAUGUGACCGUUUUCAUUAACAAGCACAAUCACCCACUAUCUGUGAAGUGUGGUGAGAAAAAACAGUGGAAAUCACAUAGCGUCAUAAGUCCUUUAGCAAAGGAUUUUAUUCGUAACCUGAGGGAGAACAACAUCAGAUUUGAUCAGAUAUACAACAUAUUAGGGUCAGGUCUUGGAUCUUCUCUAGGCGUGCCUUUUAGAAAGUAG